RNAcentral lists this long non-coding RNA (490 nucleotides) under Carica papaya (papaya). Its description in RNAcentral is "long non-coding RNA (CPAP_LNC016274)". The record is from RNAcentral. Lineage: Eukaryota; Viridiplantae; Streptophyta; Magnoliopsida; Brassicales; Caricaceae.
ACGCACACACAAGAACACCACCUGAAAGUAAGCAAAUACAAAACUCAAGCCAAUUGAAAUCCCAAAUUCCCAAAGCAUUAUUUGAAAGACAAGACAAACAAAAACAAAAGACACGAUAGUGAAACUCUUCAAACUAGCCCUUGAUUCUUUUCAAGAUAAUCAACAAACUUAGUCAUUAAAAUCCUUGGCCGCUUCCUAGAACAUUCCUUGCAAGAGGAGGCGACAUUUUUUUCGGAUUAUCACUGUUAGCCGCCUCAUUUGGAUUGUCCACAAUGAAGUUCUCAUCAUCCAAUGGAUCCGCAAACAGCAUCUCUAGAGUGAAGCUAUCAAAUACUGAGUCUAGAUUUGAAUCAUCUGGCACAAUACGCAUCAUAUUUAGAGCAUCGGAUGUUGUGCUAAUUGGAUCAUUUGGUGCAUGAGGUAUAGUACUUGGAUUAAAAAACUCAUUAGGCCUGAUAUUUGGAUCAUUUGAUAGAUUAAUAUCCAUUGU